AGUGAACGCUGGCGGUAGGCCUAACACAUGCAAGUCGAACGGCAGCACAGGAGAGCUUGCUCUCUGGGUGGCGAGUGGCGGACGGGUGAGGAAUACAUCGGAAUCUACUCUGUCGUGGGGGAUAACGUAGGGAAACUUACGCUAAUACUGCAUACGACCUACGGGUGAAAGCAGGGGAUCUUCGGACCUUGCGCGAUUGAAUGAGCCGAUGUCGGAUUAGCUAGUUGGCGGGGUAAAGGCCCACCAAGGCGACGAUCCGUAGCUGGUCUGAGAGGAUGAUCAGCCACCCUGGAACUGAGACACGGUCCAGACUCCUAGGGGAGGCAGCAGUGGGGAAUAUUGGACAAUGGGCGCAAGCCUGAUCCAGCCAUACCGCGUGGGUGAAGAAGGCCUUCGGGUUGUAAAGCCCUUUUGUUGGGAAAGAAAUCCAGCUGGUUAAUACCCGGUUGGGAUGACGGUACCCAAAGAAUAAGCACCGGCUAACUUCGUGCCAGCCGCCGCGGUAA
RNAcentral lists this ribosomal RNA (506 nucleotides) under uncultured bacterium. RNAcentral's name for it is "partial 16S ribosomal RNA". It matches the Rfam family "Bacterial small subunit ribosomal RNA", at positions 29 to 523 of the family's 1533-position model. The record is from RNAcentral.